GGGCCCGGGGGGCCCGGAGCAGUUUCCAGUGGCCAGGGGUACGCGCGGCCGGAGGGGCGCCGGGGCCGUACUCACCGCGGCCGUUCUGGUUGGGCCGGUACACGCUGCCCACGCUGAGGCGGCCCUGCUGCGCGCCGUUCCGCUCCCCACCCGGCGGGGGCGUGUCGGAGCUGCGCACCGGCAGGAGCUCCUGCCUGCCUGGAUGAAGAGGAGGUCAAGACUUUGUCCCCCACUCCGCAAGAUACCCUCUCUGUUCCGGAGCGGUGGGUCCCUCCCCUGUUAGGACCUUGUCUCCCUCAGGACUGGACCUGGAUCCUGGGCCUGCAGUCAGAUUGCCAGUUUCACUUAGAGGUGGAAAUGUCAACCCACUGGUUGGAAUGGGAAGGUAGGGUGUGGGGUCGGGGAGUACCUUCAUUUCUAUCUGCCCAGGAGGCCAGCCGCUUCCUGCAUAGCAUUUCCUUCCUGCAGUAUGGGAAGGACCAGGCUUUCUCAGACCACAGAAUCUUGAGAGCCAUUUCCACGUGGAGCAAGUGGUGGCUACCAGCCUUGGGUCUACAUAACUAGGGCCUCAUCCCUGGCCCAAGAAUCCUGCUCCACAGCCUUCUUGUGUCCCUGUAGGAGGAGAAACACCUGGCAACUUAAAUUUUUUAAAAUAACUUUUUUUUUUUUUUGAGACGGAGUCUCGCUCUGUCUCCCAGGCUGGAGUGCAGUGGUGCGAUCUCGGCUCACUGCAAGCUCCGCCUCCCAGGUUCAUGCCAUUCUCCUGCCUCAGCCUCCCAAGUAGCUGGGACUACAGGCACCUGCCAUCACGCACGGCUAAUUUUUUUGUAUUUUUUUAGGUGAGACAGGAUUUCACCAUGUUAGCCAGGAUGGUCUUGAUCUCCUGACCUCAUGAUCUGCCCACCUCGGCCUCCCAAAGUGCUGGGCUUACAGGCGUGAGCCACCGUGCCCGGCCAAAAAUAACUUUUAAAAACAUGAGUAUAGCAUACACACACACAAAAGUCCACAAAUCCUAGGUGUACCACUUGAUGAAUGAUCCCAACGUGAGCACACCUCUGGAUUACCACCUGGAUCAAGAAAUAGGACAUCACAGCAGCUGGCAGCUUCCAAGGAGAAGCUCUGGAAAGUUCUGCCUGUCUCAGCACCUGGCUGGAUCGGAAACGAGUUUUCUUUAACCAGAUUUUUAAUGACUGACUUAUGUGGACAAAUCAUAACUGAAUGAAUCACCUCCUUUGUUGAUUUUUUUGGGUACUUUAUUUGCUAUUAUAAAUGAUGCUGUAAUAAGCACCCUUGAAGAAAUCUUCAUAUCUGCCUCUCCUGUGUAGCAGGUCACAGUGCCUGGGUUUGGUUCUAGCCCUCAUUUGUGAACUGUGUGACUCACCAUGCCUUUUUUCUUUCUGUAAGACAGGAAUAAUGGUAAGAAUUUAAAUGGGGGUAAUAUGGAGCGCGUUUAGUUCAGAGCCUGGUGCAUACAAGCACUCAAUAAGUACUGGCGAUUAUUAGACCUUUAGAUUAAUUUAUUAGAAGUUGGAUUUCUGGUGAAAGGGUUUGAGUGUUUUUGAGGCUUUGGCACAGAAUACCCAGCUGGUCCCAGAAAGGUGGUUCCCAUUUACCUGCCCGAAGGUAAUUCACCCUUACUGAUACUGAGUACUGUUUUCUAAAAGAACAUUAAAAAUUGGAUAGGUUAAAAACAGGUGAAUACAUUUUUUUAGUUGCAUUUUUUUGGUUACCCGUGAGAGUGAACAUGUUGCCAUGUGUUUGCUGACCUCCUAAAUGGUCUAUUUGCUCCUACCUUUGUACCCCAAAAGUCUGCUCUCAAGAUGGUAGCCAGAAUGAUCCUUUUUGAGACAUAAGUCAAAAUUUCACUCUUCUCCUUAAAGCUCUGCAAUGGUUCUCAGGUUAAAAGCCAAAGUCCUGUUCAAGGCCUCCAGGGUCCUCACCACUUGGUCCCUUGCUCUUUCUGUUCUAGCCAACUUGGCCUUCUCCUGCCCCUCCGCCGCACCAUGGCAAUUUCCCCUGCUCUGUGUGGUCAACUACCUGAAUCUGUUCAAAGCUUUGCUCAAAUGUCUCCUUCCUGAUGAGACCUCCCCAGCCCCUGAGCUCCCCAUGCCUCACUCCUGAUCGCCUUACUUAACCCUUCUUUUUCUUUUUUGCCAGUAGUACUUAUCACCGUCUAAAAUACUUCAUAAUUUACUUGUUUAUUGUUUGCCCCUCUCCAAUAGAAUGUAAGCUCCUUGGGGCAGGGACCUUUGUCCUUUGUCUUGUUCACUGCUGUGUCCCAUGUGUAAACUUGUCUGGCACAGAAGAGGUGCUCGAUAAAUAUUUGUUGAGUGAAUGAAUGGUAAAUUUUCUGUUCAUAUUCUUUGACUAUUUUCUAUUGUAAUGUUCAUCUUUUUAGUAUUGGUUUAUAAGAUGUAUAUUUAGCACCUUUUCAUAUAUCACUCUUUGUCACAUAUUAUGCAACUAAUUUGUCAUUUCCAUCAAUUUUUAAAAUACUUUCUUGAUGCUUCAUUUUUAAGCUGUCAGAUUAUUAAUCUUUUCUUUAUGGUCUUGGACUUUAUUGUUGCAUAACCGCUGCCUUCACCAGGAACAUAUAAAUUUUCAAUUAAAUGUUCUUCUGAGAUUUUAUGAUUUCACUUUUUAUAUUAAACUCUUCAUUUUGUCUUCAUGUGUGGUGAGAGGUAAGAACAUAACUUUAAAGCAAAUUAACCAACUAUCCCCAAAUGAAUUAUAAAUAAAUUAAUCAUUUUCCAAUGAUCUGAAAGGCCAUUUUAUCAUACACUAAAUAUUUUUGUGUGUUUGACUGGGUUUACCGUUCUGUUCCGUUGGCCUAUCACAUCGUUCUUACAUUGGUAUUUGUUGCCCUAUUUUAAUGAUUGUAACUUUUUAAUAAGGGUUAAUGACUGAGAAUACAAGUCCCAUUGUUUUGUUUUAUUAUUUUUAUUAUUUUUUUGAGACAGGGUUUCACUCUGUCACCCAGGCUGGAGUAUAGUAGCACUAUCUCGGCUCAUUGCAACCUCUGCCUCCCUGGUUCAAGUGAUUCUCCCACCUCAACCUCCCGAGUAGCUGGGACUACAGAUGCAUGCCACCACACCCAGCUAAUUCUUGUAUUUUUAGUAGAGACAGGGUUUCACCAUGUUGACCAGGCUGGUCUUGAACUCCUGGCUUCAAGUGAUUCACCUGCCUCGAC
This 3190-nucleotide long non-coding RNA is filed under the name Homo sapiens (human). Its description in RNAcentral is "PREDICTED lncRNA (TCONS_00090424)". Lineage: Eukaryota; Metazoa; Chordata; Mammalia; Primates; Hominidae. The record is from RNAcentral.